Molecule: transfer RNA, 57 nt
Filed under: Dehalococcoidia bacterium
Lineage: Bacteria; Bacillati; Chloroflexota; Dehalococcoidia
Description: tRNA-Ser
Rfam family: tRNA
About the family: Transfer RNA (tRNA) molecules are approximately 80 nucleotides in length. Their secondary structure includes four short double-helical elements and three loops (D, anti-codon, and T loops).
Source: RNAcentral
UAGAGCGCGGUCCUGAUAAGACCGAGGUCGAUGGUUCGAGUCCAUCCAGGCCCACCA